GACGAACGCUGGCGGCGUGCUUAACACAUGCAAGUCGAACGGAAAGGCCCUGCUUUUGUGGGGUGCUCGAGUGGCGAACGGGUGAGUAACACGUGAGUAACCUGCCCUUGACUUUGGGAUAACUUCAGGAAACAGGGGCUAAUACCGGAUAGGAGCUCCUGAUGCAUGUUGGGGGUUGGAAAGUUUCGGCGGUUGGGGAUGGAAUCGCGGGUUAUCAGCUUGUUGGUGGGGUAGUGGCUUACGAAGGUUUUGACGGGUAGCCGGCCUGAGAGGGUGACCGGCGACAUUGGGACUAAGAUACGGCCCAGACUCCUACGGGAGGCAGCAGUGGGAAAUAUUGCACAAUGGGCGGAAGCCUGAUGCAGCAACGCCGCGUUCGGAAUGACGGCUUUCGGGUUGUAAACCGCUUUCGCCUGUAACGAAGCGUGAGUGACGGUAAUGGGUAAAAAAGCACCGGCUAACUACGUG
RNAcentral lists this ribosomal RNA (468 nucleotides) under uncultured bacterium. RNAcentral's name for it is "partial 16S ribosomal RNA". It matches the Rfam family "Bacterial small subunit ribosomal RNA", at positions 28 to 507 of the family's 1533-position model. The record is from RNAcentral.